Molecule: small nucleolar RNA, 117 nt
Filed under: Nannospalax galili (Upper Galilee mountains blind mole rat)
Lineage: Eukaryota; Metazoa; Chordata; Mammalia; Rodentia; Spalacidae
Description: Small nucleolar RNA SNORA31 (ENSNGAG00000007034.1)
Rfam family: Small nucleolar RNA SNORA31
About the family: ACA31 (SNORA31) belongs to the H/ACA class of snoRNAs which are thought to guide the sites of modification of uridines to pseudouridines. ACA31 is predicted to guide the pseudouridylation of U3713 in 28S rRNA and U218 in 18S rRNA.
Source: Rfam by way of RNAcentral
CUGCAUCCACUGAUAGACCUUGAACAAUCUGUGGUAGUUCUGCUCUGCACCAGGAUCAAAAGACAAUACUCCCUGUCUGUUCUUGUGGCAGUCCAGACUGAAUUAGAGAGUAUGUCU